CCUACGGGUGGCUGCAGUGAGGAAUAUUGGUCAAUGGACGGAAGUCUGAACCAGCCAUGUCGCGUGCAGGAAGACGGCCCUAUGAGUUGUAAACUGCUUUUGUACAAGGGUAAAAUUGAACACGUGUAUUCAGCUGAAAGUACCGUAUGAAUAAGGAUCGGCUAACUCCGUGCCAGCAGCCGCGGUAAUACGGAGGGGGCAAGCGUUAUCCGGAUUUACUGGGUGUAAAGGGAGCGUAGACGGCAGGGCAAGUCUGGUGUGAAAGGCGGGGGCUCAACCCCCAGACUGCAGUUGAAACUGGACGGCUGGAGUGCAGGAGAGGUAAGUGGAAUUCCUGGUGUAGCGGUGAAAUGCGUAGAUAUUAGGAAGAACACCAAUGGCGAAGGCAGCUUACUGGACUGUAACUGACGUUGAGGCUCGAAAGCGUGGGGAGCAAACAGGAUUAGAUACCCGGGUAGUC
RNAcentral lists this ribosomal RNA (460 nucleotides) under uncultured bacterium. RNAcentral describes it as "partial 16S ribosomal RNA". It matches the Rfam family "Bacterial small subunit ribosomal RNA", at positions 338 to 795 of the family's 1533-position model. The record is from RNAcentral.